ACUGUACUAUCUUGUCUGUGGUUCGAGGGUGAGAUUGUCACAGCAGUAUAGGGGGUACAUUCGAGAACCGUAAGACAAUUAAUAUAAA
Non-coding RNA from Bombyx mori (domestic silkworm), 88 nucleotides. RefSeq annotates it as microRNA mir-2856-1. The record is from RefSeq and is marked provisional. Lineage: Eukaryota; Metazoa; Arthropoda; Insecta; Lepidoptera; Bombycidae. The transcript has a single exon.